RNAcentral lists this unclassified non-coding RNA (162 nucleotides) under uncultured Volutella. RNAcentral describes it as "sequence contains ITS1". Lineage: Eukaryota; Fungi; Ascomycota; Sordariomycetes; Hypocreales; Nectriaceae. The record is from RNAcentral.
CAGAAGGUCUAGUACCUGAAAACCACUGUGAACCGUUCCAUUUGCUGCCUCGGCGGGCGAUCCCAGGGCGGGAUCGCGGCCCCUUCGGGGGCGCCCGCCGGCGCGCGACCCUUCUAGCUCUGUUGUCCAGCGGGCUUCUGAGUGACUAAAAAAAACAAAUUA